RNAcentral lists this long non-coding RNA (2355 nucleotides) under Dasypus novemcinctus (nine-banded armadillo). RNAcentral's name for it is "lncRNA (ENSDNOG00000049829.1)". The record is from RNAcentral. Lineage: Eukaryota; Metazoa; Chordata; Mammalia; Cingulata; Dasypodidae.
AUGGUUCUCAUCAAUAUCCAAGUCAUAUCUCUUUUAAUAAACAGGCUAUCAACUCAACAAGCCAGAUGUCAUUUUCAAGUUGGAGCAGGAAGAAGAGCCAUGCGUUGUCAAAGAAGCAAUAGUCAGAUGACAUUCAGAAAAGACUUGGAUGUUGGUGAACUGGUGGAGAGAGAACAGCAAGGAUUUGUGAAAAGAGUUGCAGCCACAUUUGAGAAAACCUUGACUGAGGAAAAAGGCAGUGAAUGUAAUAGUGAAAAAAUAUCUCCUAUGAACUCAGACAUUAAUUUUACAAGGAAAUGCCUCUCUAAAUGCGACUCUUCUGGAAACCUUAUGAAACAUAACUUAAACUUAUUUAAUCAGGAUAGGUGCCAGGGUAAGAAACAUCAUGAAUAUAACAAGUGUGGGAAAUACUCCCUUAGGUCAUCCUCUAUUGUAGUAGCCCCCUUUCAGUGUACUCAGUGAGAAAAGUCUUCUUUAAGGAGUUGGACCUCAUCAGACACUUGAGAAUUCAUACUGGAGAUAACCUUUAUGAAUGUUAUAAAUAUGGAAAAGCCUUUAUCUGGAAGUCAUGCCUUAAUUCACAUCAGAAAAUUCAUACAAGAAGGAAGCCUUAUGAAUGUAACAAAUAUGGAAAAACUUUCACUCUCAAGCAAAAACUCCUCAGACACCAUAGAUCUUACAAAGGUGAAAAGCCCUAUACAUGUCAGCAAUGCAGUAGAGCCUUCUACCACAAAUAUAAUCUCAUUGGAAAUGAAAAUGUUCAUACUGUAGAGACACCUUAUGAGUGUCAUAACUGUGAAAAAAACAUUCAGAUAUAAGAAAACUCUCUUUGUACCUCUGAAAAUUCAUACUGGGGAGAAAUCAUAUGAAUGUAAUGAAUGUGGGAAAGCCUCUCAAUGUUCAACCUUAUUAUGCACAUAAGAAGGCACACAAGGAAGAAAUCCUAUAAAUGUGAUAUAUGUGGAAAAGAGUUCUUUCAGUGCUCACCAUGGAUUUUGCAUAUGAGAAGUCAUACAUGUGAAAAACCUUACCAAUGUAAUGAUUGCAGAAAAGUUUUUGAUCGGAAGUCAAACCUCAGCACACACCAAAGAAUUCAUGCUGGAGAAAAACCUCAUGAAUGUAAUGAAAUGUGGGAAGGUUUUUCUUCAUAAACUAUCUCUUACAGUACAUGAAACAAUUCAUACAGGUGGAAAACCUUAUGAAUGUAAUGAUUGUGGAAAAGCUUUUACUCAGAGAUCUAUGCUUAGCAUACACAAAAGGGUUCAUACUGGAGAAAAACCUUAUGCAUGUAAGCAAUGUGGGAAAGCCUUUAGUUGUAAACCGGCUUCACUGAGCAUGGAAAAACUCACAGUACAGAGAGAUCAUAUGAGUGUUCUAAUUGUGAAAAAGCCUUCAGAUAUAAAAAAGAUCUGCAUCUGAAUAUUCAUACUGGAGAAAAACCUUUUGAAUGUAAUGAAUGUGGGAAAACCUUUUCUCAAUUUUUAUCCCUUUCUAUACAUAUAAGAUGUCACACAGGGGAAAAACCCUAUGAGUGCAAUGAAUGUGGAAAAGCUUCCCAUCAAAACUCAUCACUUUUGAUACAUAUGAGAAGUCAUAGAGGUGAGAAGCCAUUUAAAUAUAAUGAAUAUGGGAAAGGUUUUUCUCAAAAAGCAUAUCUUAUUGUACAUUUGAAAGAUCAUACAGAUGAGAAACCAUAAAUGUAAUAGUAUAUGUGAAAAGGCCUCUCAAAUUUUGAUCCCUUGCUCUACCUGUAAGGACAUAUAUGGGUAAGGAACCUGUAUAGUGAAUGUAGGAAACUGUACUCGAGAUUCUUUUCUCUUUAGACACCAACAAAUUCAUCAUGGUAUAAACACAUUGAAUGCCUUGAUUAUCAGAAAACCAGUAGAAAUUCACAUCUCAUAGCUCAUCAAAAAAUUCUUUCUACACCAAAACACUACAGAGGUGGAAAAGCCUUAAGAAAGUACUCAGAAUUUAUGAAGCCAAAGAUAUUCAUAAUGAGGAAAAAUGCCAUUGGUACAAUGGAAAAGCUGUACCAAGUAAAACCUAUAACAAACAUGGUACUUAAUAAUGAAACUCAGAAGAUGAAUAUUAAUUUCAGGAACAAGUGGGACAUGUCUCCUAUCACUACUAUUUGUUCACAGUAGUAUUUAGGUGGUCUAGUCAAUGAAAAAAUAUGAAGAAAAUAAGUACAUGAAAUAGAUUGGAAAAAAAAUACAAGGUUAAAAUCAUAUACAGUAUAGACCAGCUGAAACAUUUAAUUAACCUCAAAAUAACUAAAACCUGCAUUUAUGACAUUGGAUUUUGGGACUCUACAUAUGCCAGCCAUUUACAACUUAAAAUUCUAAUAAUGCAGUU